Molecule: long non-coding RNA, 996 nt
Filed under: Triticum aestivum (bread wheat)
Lineage: Eukaryota; Viridiplantae; Streptophyta; Magnoliopsida; Poales; Poaceae
Description: long non-coding RNA (TAES_LNC018416)
Source: RNAcentral
CCACCCAGUGCCGUAAGAGGGCCCUCCGAUGUUGCCCAUGACGCUGUCGGCAUGCCUCCACUGAUUGUGCCGUAAGAGUAUUUGCUUCUUUUUACUGCAGUAUAAAAUCAUUUUUGCCAUCUUCUAAUGUGUCCACUGUUUUUUCUCAGUUAUUCGGAGAGCACCACGUAAGUUCACGAUUCAUUGUCUAGAGGUAAUUGUCAGAAUCAGUUUCCAGAGUUUGCUUCCUCAGCGUGUAGUAUUUGAAGUAUAAAAAAUAUUGAUUCUAAUGAUUACAAUAUGAACAUUGAUAAAAUGAUGAUUCAAUAAUUUUUCGGAUUUGCAUCCUAUGGAAUUAUCGUUUCUGUUGACUUAUCCCUAUUUAUAAUUUCGGAUUAUUAUUUUUGGCACUCCAGUUUCAGAAAUAAAGCACUAGCCAGUUAUAUGUGAUGUUUCAAGCAGAACUGGAAUUAGUCAAAAGCUGUCCGCAAACAAUAACGCGCAUGACAUUGGCUUCAUAGACAUUCUCGACUGUAUUUGACUUCGUUCAGAGGAAGAUAUUCAAAGAGCGAAUUAUUUGGAAAAUUAAACCUUCAAAUUUGUAAAAGUGAAGUUACUCAACUGCAGCUGUAGGCUAGCAUGCUCUUUUUAUUUUGAGGUGAUUAUUCUCUUUAAAAAGAGAGGUUGAUUUGCUUUGGUGUAUGGGACACUAAGAUCCCUUUUGAUUGAUUUCUUAUAUGUCAUUUUGAUAUCAACUUGUUUCAUCCAUUUGUGUUUUGUUUAUACCAUAAAUCAUUCUGCAGCCACACAAGAUCAUUCUGCAUCCAUCAUAAUCUGUUUGCCCAAAAAAUAGCAAGGUACGUUCUCCCCAUUCCUAUUUUCCUCCAAUUGAUCCCUGAUUUCUUACCAUUUCAUGUUUGUGAUAUUUCUACUUUAUUUUGCCUAAUGUUCUGAGCCUUAGAUUUGGUGCUCAAGUACGACAGUUACUUCUCUUAAGGGUGUGUGCCUGUCUUUUUU